UUGCAGGGCUAGUAUGAACGGGUAAACGAAAUAAAUUCUGUCUCAAUAUUUAUUUAAUAAAUUAACAUUUAAGUGAAGAGGCUUAAAUAAAUUUGUAGGACAAGAAGACCCUAUAGAGCUAAACCAAUAUUUUAUAUCNUAUAAAAAGANGUUCGGUUGGGGCGACCUAGGAAUAUUUAUCAUCCUAAAAAUAUAAGAUAUAUAUAUCACUAUUNUGAUCCUAUAAUGAUCAAAAAAUCAAGCUACCUUAGGGAUAACAGGCUAAUUCAUU
Molecule: ribosomal RNA, 271 nt
Filed under: Eremidrilus coyote
Lineage: Eukaryota; Metazoa; Annelida; Clitellata; Lumbriculida; Lumbriculidae
Description: partial 16S ribosomal RNA
Source: RNAcentral